UACGGGGGGAGCAAGCGUUGUUCGGAUUUACUGGGCGUAAAGGGCGCGUAGGCGGCGUGACAAGUCACUUGUGAAAUCUCCGGGCUUAACUCGGAACGGUCAAGUGAUACUGUCGUGCUAGAGUACAGAAGGGGCAACUGGAAUUCUCGGUGUAGCGGUGAAAUGCGUAGAUAUCGAGAGGAACACCUGCGGCGAAGGCGGGUUGCUGGGCUGAUACUGACGCUGAGGCGCGAAAACUAGGGGAGCGAACGGG
This 253-nucleotide ribosomal RNA is filed under the name uncultured bacterium. RNAcentral describes it as "partial 16S ribosomal RNA". It matches the Rfam family "Bacterial small subunit ribosomal RNA", at positions 524 to 776 of the family's 1533-position model. The record is from RNAcentral.